RNAcentral lists this long non-coding RNA (371 nucleotides) under Oryza brachyantha (malo sina). RNAcentral describes it as "long non-coding RNA (OBRA_LNC002000)". The record is from RNAcentral. Lineage: Eukaryota; Viridiplantae; Streptophyta; Magnoliopsida; Poales; Poaceae.
CAUUAGGAAUCAAGAAAUCUUAUAGCCAUAGUAUGGCAUUACCAUCUGCCAUGCUUGCUGCAGACAGAAGAUUGGACGUCAUUAAGAAAACUAGUGUUGCAGUUAAAGGGCGUGAAGACUAGGAUUGUUUUCCUUCAUAAUAGAUGAUACCAUGUGCUUAGCAGAACGGCGACGGGUGCAUAAAGAAGACAAAAUUAUGCAUGAUUAAAGCAAGUUCAUUUGAGAUUGAAUGGAAGAAAAUAAACAACACUAUAAAAGGGGUUUUUUAAGGGUACCUUUGAAUGGAUAUGAACCAUCCAUUUGUUUCGAUCUAAUAUACCACAAUCACCUAUAAUACACCCAAUUAAGUGUGUAGUGUAUUGGUGGAAGGG